Molecule: ribosomal RNA, 531 nt
Filed under: uncultured bacterium
Lineage: Bacteria
Description: bacterial SSU rRNA
Rfam family: Bacterial small subunit ribosomal RNA
Source: RNAcentral
AGAGUUUGAUCCUGGCUCAGGACGAACGCUGGCGGCGUGCUUAACACAUGCAAGUCGAGCGAGAACCAGGCCUUCGGGCCUGGGGAAAGCGGCGAACGGGUGAGUAACACGUGGGUAAUCUGCCCUCGGCACCGGAAUAGCCCGGGGAAACCCGGAUUAAUGCCGGAUAGCCUCUCCGGUCCUUGGACUGGUGAGAAAAGGUAGCUUCGGCCUCUGGCCGAGGAGGAGCCCGCGGCGGAUUAGCUUGUUGGUGAGGUAACGGCUCACCAAGGCGACGAUCCGUAGCUGGUCUGAGAGGACGAUCAGCCACACUGGGACUGAGACACGGCCCAGACUCCUACGGGAGGCAGCAGUGGGGAAUCUUGCGCAAUGGGCGAAAGCCUGACGCAGCGACGCCGCGUGCGGGAAGAAGGCCUUCGGGUUGUAAACCGCUUUCAGGAGGGACGAAGCCACUCGGGUUAAUAGCCCAGAGGGUGACGGUACCUCCAGAAGAAGCCCCGGCUAACUACGUGCCAGCAGCCGCGGUAAUAC